AACGCACAUUGCGCCCGCUGGUAUUCCAGCGGGCAUGCCUGUUCGAGCGUCAUUUCAACCCUCAAGCUCCUCUUGGCAGCUUGGUGCUGGGGCGCUGCCCGGCCUCCGUGCCUGGGCAGGCCCUCAAAUCCAGUGGCGGGCUCGCCAGCACCCCGAGCGCAGUAGUUUUUACCACCUCGCUUUGGAAGGUUCUGGCGGCGUCUGGCCGUAAAACCCCCCCUAAUUUUUGAAGAGUUGACCUCGGAUCAGGUAGGAAUACCCGCUGAACUUAA
Molecule: unclassified non-coding RNA, 272 nt
Filed under: uncultured Diaporthales
Lineage: Eukaryota; Fungi; Ascomycota; Sordariomycetes; Diaporthales
Description: sequence contains 5.8S rRNA gene, ITS2, 28S rRNA gene
Rfam family: 5.8S ribosomal RNA (bases 1-52)
Source: RNAcentral